CGCAUCUGUGCAUGCAGCAUAUCAAUAAGCGGAGGAAAAGAAACUAACAAGGAUUCCCCUAGUAACGGCGAGUGAAGCGGGAAGAGCUCAAAUUUGAAAUCUUAAAGGGUUUCCCUUUACGAAUUGUGGUUUAAAGAAGUGUUUUCUGUUGAGGUUUUGGUAAAAGUUCUUUGGAACUAGGACAUCAUAGAGGGUGAGAAUCCCGUAUUUGACCUCUACUUUCAACUUUGUGAUACACUUUCAAAGAGUCGGAUUGUUUGGGAAUGCAGUCCAAAAUGGGUGGUAAAUUUCAUCUAAAGCUAAAUAUUGGCGAGAGACCGAUAGCGAACAAGUACCGUGAGGGAAAGAUGAAAAGAACUUUGAAAAGAGAGUUAAACAGUACGUGAAAUUGUCAAAAGGGAAGCGUUUGACACCAGUGUUGUUUUUCUGAAAAUCAAUUAAAGAACUGUUUAUGCUAAGUUGUUUAGACUUUAUCAGCUAACUGUUUAGUUUUGAGCUUUUCCUUUAAUGCACUUUUCAGUUAACGAAGUCAACAUCAAUUUCUUUUGCUGUAAAAAAGCUUGAGGAAGGUGGCUUGAGAUUCGUCUUAAGUGUUUAUAGCCUCUUGCCUAUGCAGUCGGAGAGAUUGAGGUCUGCAGCGUAGAUCCUUCGGGGCUAAAUGCAUUUGUGCUAAGUUAUAGCAUUUUAUAGCCAACUUGUUAACUAUGAUUUGUCUUGUAGCUUACUCGCUUAUGCUAUUUUACCUACGCUUAGGAUGUUGACUGAUAUGUAGUCGUA
RNAcentral lists this ribosomal RNA (777 nucleotides) under uncultured Neocallimastigales. RNAcentral's name for it is "partial large subunit ribosomal RNA". It matches the Rfam family "Eukaryotic large subunit ribosomal RNA", at positions 26 to 644 of the family's 3401-position model. The record is from RNAcentral. Lineage: Eukaryota; Fungi; Neocallimastigomycota; Neocallimastigomycetes; Neocallimastigales.